Molecule: small RNA, 28 nt
Filed under: Bombyx mori (domestic silkworm)
Lineage: Eukaryota; Metazoa; Arthropoda; Insecta; Lepidoptera; Bombycidae
Description: ovarian small RNA-22055
Source: RNAcentral
UAGAUAAAGGUAAAACAUUGAAUUAUGC